UACGUAGGGGGCGAGCGUUGUCCGGAGUUACUGGGCGUAAAGGGCACGCAGGCGGUGCGGCGCGUUUCGCGUGACAGCGGAGGGCUUAACUCUCCGAGGAUGCGAAAGACGGCGGCACUUGAGGGCCAGAGAGGGACACGGAAUUCCGGGUGGAGUGGUGAAAUUCGUAGAUAUCGAGAGGAACACCGGUGGCGAAGGCGGCCAACUGGACAGAUACUGACGCUGAGACACGAAAGCGUGGGGAGCAAACAGG
This 253-nucleotide ribosomal RNA is filed under the name uncultured bacterium. RNAcentral's name for it is "partial 16S ribosomal RNA". It matches the Rfam family "Bacterial small subunit ribosomal RNA", at positions 524 to 776 of the family's 1533-position model. The record is from RNAcentral.